GAGAGGAGUCCAAAUGGGAACUAUUAACAAAGGCACGCGCACGGUUUUAUCUCCAUCAGAAAGUGCUUUGGCGGUCUCUGGCCCAGACCCUGUACUGCACUGCACUGCACUGUACUGCACUGUACUGCACUGUGGCUGCUAAGGUUAAUGAGUAAAAAAAAGAAAAAAAAGAAAAAGUGGUGAACCUUAAUGAAGAAGAGAAUCAAGCAGACUAUGCCACAACAGGUUAAAAGGCUCUCUCUGCUCUGCAGACUUGCAGCAAGAUUCCCCACAUCCACUCCCAGGAACCAACCAGCUUCCUGACAGGAUGCAAUGAAGCUGCUGAAGUUUACAAAAGGAGGCCCAUUGCUGUGAUUUAUGCAACCUUCCUUCAUACAUUCAUUUUUUCACCCAUGCUGGAUUAUAGAAGGGAAUAAAAGA
This is a long non-coding RNA of Mus pahari (shrew mouse), 420 nucleotides long. RefSeq lists it as uncharacterized. The transcript has 3 exons. The record is from RefSeq and is a predicted model, not a curated record. Lineage: Eukaryota; Metazoa; Chordata; Mammalia; Rodentia; Muridae.